Molecule: transfer RNA, 99 nt
Filed under: cf. Phormidesmis sp. LEGE 11477
Lineage: Bacteria; Bacillati; Cyanobacteriota; Cyanophyceae; Leptolyngbyales; Leptolyngbyaceae
Description: tRNA-OTHER
Source: RNAcentral
CCCUCAAUAGCUCAGUCGGGUAAGAGCGCCUGCUUGUUGGCGUAGCCUGACCGCAGGUCUUAGCGCAGGAGGUCGUCUGUUCAAAUCGGACUUGGGGGG